Molecule: ribosomal RNA, 254 nt
Filed under: uncultured bacterium
Lineage: Bacteria
Description: partial 16S ribosomal RNA
Rfam family: Bacterial small subunit ribosomal RNA
Source: RNAcentral
UACGUAGGGUGCAAGCGUUGUCCGGAAUUAUUGGGCGUAAAGAGCUCGUAGGCGGUUUGUCGCGUCUGCUGUGAAAACCCGAGGCUCAACCUCGGGCCUGCAGUGGGUACGGGCAGACUAGAGGUGCGGUAGGGGAGAUUGGAAUUCCUGGUGUAGCGGUGGAAUGCGCAGAUAUCAGGAGGAACACCGAUGGCGAAGGCAGGUCUCUGGGCAUUAACUGACGCUGAGGAGCGAAAGCAUGGGGAGCGAACAGG